This is a long non-coding RNA of Heterocephalus glaber (naked mole-rat), 8953 nucleotides long. RefSeq lists it as uncharacterized. Lineage: Eukaryota; Metazoa; Chordata; Mammalia; Rodentia; Bathyergidae. The record is from RefSeq and is a predicted model, not a curated record.
AAAGCCCCAUCUAUGAGCACAUGAUGCUUGGAGGGAUAUCCAAAUAUAAGCCAUAACACCUCUGAAGGACAGAGAAUUAAGCAUUUCUGACAAAUCUAAAAGGUAGACAAUGGACUAAGCCACCUGUGUGGUGAUCUAGGAAACCUCUAUAAAUUGCUUCUCACCAAAAUUAAAUCUCUUCUCCACACUCUUAUCUGUCCUAUUCUUCUGGCUAAUUGGCCAAUUUGUCUUAUUCUACUGACUUUUUAAGAAAGUACAUGUUAUGAUUUAUAUCUAGAUGACCCCAAACCCUCAUGAGCUCAUCCGUGAGUUUCUGAAAGGUGACUGGGUGAUGGAGUGGUAUAGCUGUCUCGCUCUCAGGAGGUGGAGCUUGGGAAGAAGAAGGGGUCACUGGGGGUGUUCCCUGGAAGUAUUUCGCUUCCUUCCUGGCUCCUCCCUUUACUUCCUGCUUUCUGGUGGCCAUGACUUGAGCAGCGCAUCCUCUGCCAGACCCGCCUGCCAUGGAGCCAGCUGACUAUGGCCUGAAGCUGUGAGCCAAAAUAAACCUCUCUUUCUUUCUGUGUGGGUGGUGGUAUUGUGUCCCAGCAAUGAGAAAGUGAUUUAGACAGUACAAAAGAUUUUUAGAGAUUUAAAAUUUCUGCCGACAUUUUAUGUGUGCUAACCACUGUCGCUGUCUUAAGUAUUUUAAUUAUAUGCUACUGUUUUAUUCUUAGGUUCCCUCUACAUUUUCUCACCAAAGUCCUAAUUUUAUUACUAUAAAUAUAUCUAAGCAUAUUGAACAACUUUUUCCUGUAGUUCAUGUGAUUUGUAUAUAAACUUGACUUUUACUCUCCAAAAGGGAUAAAAUAAAUACAACUGCAAAAGAUAUCCAAAAAUGCAUUUAUAAAGAAUAGACCCAAUACACCUGGUUUUUAUACUAUUCAAAAUUGGUGGAUUAUUUCUUUAUACUGUUGGUAGAACUAGGCAACUUCCUGAAGAACAUGGCAUCAGAUCUGUAGUCCAUACCUUACACUUGGUUAAAUUAUCUUACAUAAAAGACUUAAGUGUUAAGAAGAAAAAACCUAGGGGGAAAAAUCAUGAUAAUUUUUAAAAAUAUGAAAUGCGGGCUGAGGAUUUAGCUCAGUGGUUUCGGCGCCUGGUACAAAAAAAGAAGAAAGAAAGAGAGAGAGAGAGAGAGAGAAAGAGAGAGAGAGAGAGAAAGCAAGCAAGCAGCCCUUUCCAAAUGUGGUAUACAAUUCAGAAAGCAGAAAGGGGAAGGUUGAGAAAUGCUUUUGUAAAAGGUCUGAGAUUUUAAGCCCAUCUGUGUUUGGAUGUGUGCAGGGUUGUCAGCAAGCCAGAGCCGGGCAGUGGAUUGCGUGUUCUGGGCACAGAGGGCCGGCCCAGUGUGUGUGAAGAGUGGGGUCCUGAGAGCAGCUCUCCAGUCACCCAGGCCCACACCCUGCGGGGCAGCCUGCUGUCCCUCCCCGCUCAACCUCGUUUUCACAGGAAGCUGCAGAGGAGGGAGAGGAGAAAAUGACUUCAGGGCCAGUUGUGCAGAGGGGGACGGACGGGGACAGCUCCCUGCCUCCCGCCUCUUGGGGGCCGGCGGCCCCGCCUGCAGCCCCAGGCGAACCACAGGGUAAGAUCUGCAUACACAGACCCCCACCUCCUCCGCCACCCCACGCCAGGGUCGUCUGAGGAAAGAGGAGGAACGAGCGGAACAUAGGAAGCGCUCUAGAGAUUGAACUCGGGACCUUGCGCUUGCGAGGCAGGCAGCCAACCACCGAGCUAAAUCCCUGGCCCUGUGACUGUGAUUUGACCAGAGAUCCGGAACAAGCUGAAGAGAAGCAGGGCAUGAAAGCAGAUAAUGGGUGGGGUUUGGAGGAACCAAGAUUAACCAAGGAAAAGGAGCUUUAUUCACUUGCUGCCUUCCCCUGCUAUCUAGGGUUGAGCACAUCGCAGAACAAGCCAUCUACUGUCGGUGGGCAGGAAGGUAAAUCCCACGGCAAGGAUGGCAGAAAGUUGACCCCAUGCUUGAAUCGAGAGAGACCACAGGUGUGUAAGCAGCAUCCCUCCACGUGCACUCAGUGGCAAGGCCCACAACACAGGGUCGGACGCAGCAGCAUCCCCAUGGCUUAUUUGUUCCUGUCAAAAGCAUGGCAUCGUCCAACAUGGAAUAAAGUCAAGAGACAAAUCCUACAUAGGAACCCCAAGCCUAAGCCUAGAAGGGACAAAUUCUAAAACCUCAAGUCUCCAGCCAUUGCCUGUCUGCGCUGAGCUUCAGCAGACAGAGCUGGAUCUGCCCCCCAACUUGAGACCCAGAAGAUACAACCUCGUGGAGCUGGUCACGUCAUAUAAAGCUGAUGAGCUGUUUUUAAGGAGCAGUCUUUCUCCCAAGGCUGUGGCAAGUUUCCUUUUAAUCACAUCUGCGUCUUCUCUUCCACAAAUACAAAUGCAGCAGCAUCAGGGAAUGCCAUAGGAUGGACAUAUUCGUCCCUCUGUUAAAGCAUGUGUCUUAGUUACUUUCUCAUCACUGAGAGACAAUACCUGACACCCACAAGUCAAAGGAGAGAGGUUUAUGUUGGCUCAGAGUAUGUAGAGGUUUCAGUCUGUAUUCAACUGGCUCCAAGGCGGGGAGCAGGGCAGAGGAGAAACAGUCCAUGGCAGAGCAGACAGGGAUCCAGGAGGGAGGAGGGAGAUCAACCCAGGCCACACCCCACAACCACCUCCGACCAGCUCCACCUCCCAACCUCACACCCAGCCAUAAACCCAUCAGUGGACUGACCCAGUGAUGAGUAGUACACCCACAAUCCAGUCCACUCCCAAAGCUCCACCUGUGAGUGCAAGGGGCUUUGGGGGCAUCUGGAUAUAAACCCUAACAGCAUGUCACAGUCAGAAGAGCAUAGCCUUUGGAAGCAAUCAGAUCUACAUUUAAUGGUAAUUCUGCUUUAUAUCUUAAAGACUCCUUCCCAACCUGAAGUCAUGUAGACAGAGCUACAUCUCAGUAUCCAAGGGGGGCUUGCUCCAAAUGGUGCCAGAUUUGCUAUAACCCAUGCACGUCCUCCUUUGUACUGUAAAUGAUCAUUAGGUGACUUCCCAACACAAUAUAAAUCCUAUGUAAAUAGUUGUUAUAUUGCACUGUUUAGAAAAUAUGAUGUGAAAAAGUUUGCACACAUUCAGUACAGCCACAGUAUUUUUUCUGCAUGUUUCCUAUGUAUGGUUGGUUGAGCUCACAGAUGUGGAACCUGUGGACAUGGUGGGCCAACUGUGUACUCCAAGGUUCUUUCUAAAAGCUUUCCAGCUUUUUGCAUUGGAGUAUUUAAUCUAUUUACUGUUGGCUUUUGUGUGUGGGUUUCUUCCCACAGCUUCCCAGCAUUCCCAGUGACAUUUACCCCAAAGACCACCUUUCUACAAUCCUGCAGGGUCACACUGUGGUGCCCACACGAGUGUGGCUUUGCCUCUGUCCCCUUGGCUUCUGUCCACCAUGGUGACACCACACUGUCCUGAUCAGUAUGGCUUGUAAGUUUUUAUGUUGGGCAGAACAGUUCGACUGUAUUUUUACUUUGUUAAUUUUCUUCUAGACGAUCAGUUUGUCCACAUAACUGUUGGGCUUUUGAUAGCUAUGGCUGAGUCUCUACAUCAGUUUUCAGAGAGCCAGCACAUACACAGUAUGACUCCAGUUAUAUACGGUUAAAAUUAACAAAAACCAAUCUAUAGUUUUUAAGGGUUGAUAAACUUUAAAUAUAGCAAGGAAUUGAUUACCACAAAGUCAAUGGAGUGAUCACCUCUAAGGGACAGUGACUGGGAAGGGAGGCCUAAGGAGCUGUCUGAUUUCUUGACCUGAUUUUAAUUAUAUGGCUGUCUCCUUAUUUAUUAAAAUAUGUAUUUAUAUUUUACUCAAUUUUUAUAUGUAGCUGUUACAUUAGUCUUAGUUUCUCUCUCUCUCUCCCUCUCUCUCUCUCUCUGUCUUUCCUGACUCCCAACCCCCAGUUUUCCCAUGUAUAAAAUGGAUCUAUGCCAGGCAUGGUGGUGCACACCUAUAAUCCUAGCACUUGGGAGGCUGAGGCAGGAGGACUUCGGUUAGUUUGAGGCCUGCCUGGGCUAUGUAGUGAGUUCAAGGCUGGCCUGGAGUACAUAGUGAGACCUUGUCUCAAACAACCAAAAUAAAAAUAGAAUUCCUUUUUAAAAAGUACAAUGUACCCAGUACCUGUACUACAGACUCUCCUCCUACAGCCCUGGAAACGGCACCUCGGGCAGUGCUUGCACAAGACAGACAGCAGGCUCACGAUUCCCUCCCCUCCCCAGGAACCGGAGUGGGAUCAGAGCCCAGGGUGAGAGGAAAGGCCAUCCAAGGGCUUCCAUAGUCAGGCGUGCCCCUCGCAUCUCGGGUACACGCUGUCCUGUGCCUGCACGCGGAGGCCACCCGGGUGUGGGGCAGAUGACGCUGCUCAGCAACACCUAUCUCCAGCCCAGCCUCUGCAGGGGUCAGCGCUUGGCAAGGGCUCUCCCCACCCGUCCCUCUGUCCUCAGGUCAGGGGACAGUGAACCCGGGGGCUUUGACCCCACUGGUGAGCACUGCCAGGCUGUUGCACGGGGGUUGGAGUUUUGAGGAACUCAUCCUGGACUGAGGUCCCUUUACAGCAGGGCCACCAAGCUCCUGUCACAUAUCUGUCCUCUGAGGACCUGGGAAGGAGCAGCCAAAGCAGUCCCUUAAAAAUAAAAACUAAGACACUAGAGUAAGAUAUUGUGAGCGACCAUCAAAUACCCCCGGCAUUUGUUGGCCCUUCAGAUGUAUGGCUUGUCUCCCUUCACAUGAUAAAUGAGUUUUCUUUUCACCCCCACGGAGUGCUGGGAUGCUCACCAUCACAGGAGUAAACUGUGGACAUGUUGCAUGAGUCUAAGUCUGUGCCAGGACAACUAUGACUGGAAAUGAUGAACACACGUUUACCUGCUCAUCUGCCCAGCCUUCGCUUUCCGCAGCAGAGGACUGUCUACACCUGAAGGAAAUAAAAUCACCAACUGGGCACAAAAUUAGCCACCUGCUGAGCCGUAGAGGGAGCAGCUGCCUCUGUGGGCACAGAGACCCUACCUGGGGCCAUCGGGACCCUCUCUGCAAAGGCUGGGAUGGAAGCAGAGCGGCUGGAAUCUCUGUGUGGCCAGAGGUUCCCGCCUGGGGAGGCUGGGGAAGCCCUGCACUAGGGGCGGAGGAAGCUUCGGCAGGGAAAGUGCACUUUGCAUCCGGUGCGGAAGGAAGAGGAAAUCAAGGAAGAGCUCUGAGCCCCUCUGCAGCUCAGCUCCGCCGGGGCCCCUGUCACACCUGCCCCUCUAAGUGGAGUCCGUGUUGAUUGGUUGGUUUUGUCUUAAACUGGUUUGGCUGUAAAGGGGGUGAAAAGAAAACCCCCCUUUCCUACCACACUUAGUUGCCAAUCGUUCCGGAGCCCUGGCCUCCCCAUCCUGUCCUGUGUGCACCGAAGGUCACUUAGCCCCACGGCCUCCACCGCAGAGGCACCAAGCGGUGCCCGCUUUUACGGUGCACGGCAGGGCCUGCACCCGUCCCUCCCAAAACACAACCCGAGUUGUUCAGCACUCCUACAGAGGGUAGCGCCUCCUGCAUGUUGUGGGACACAAAGGCCCGCACUCAGGUCACCCCCGAGAGUAACCGAGGCUGGGACAGCCGACAGCAUUGCUGCACGGUGUGGCUGGCGGGAGCUGGGAAAAGGUGCUGAGAAUCGAGUGAAGCCUCCUGCCCUACGCGGCCCCUAGGUCCGGGAAGACCCUCUUGCCGCGCGCUGUGGCAGCAGCUGUCUUACGUUCAUCAUCUCUGUUCCUGCAGCGACCGGGGAGAUCGAUGAAGUCCACCGAAGACAAAACGCCCUAAGCCACAGAGUCUGCAUCUUUCCUGAUCCAUCAUCUGUCAGGCAUCCGAAGGCAUCAGAGCUACAGCCGCACGGAGGCCUGGUCCUGCAGGACUAAGCUCAGUACUUCAGGACCAACUCAGUCUUCCCCCAAGGCACCCCGGUUAGUCUGAUGCCAGUGGCUGAGACAUUUUUUCUUCUUUUAUAGCACUGAGAAUUUGACCCAGGGAGCGCUGAGCUACAUCCCUAUCCCCCUGCAUGCACACGCAUGUGCACACAUACACACACAUUUUGAGACAGUGAUUCAGCCAGUUGCCCAGGCUGUCCUUGAACUUGAAAUUUUCCUGCCUCAGCCUCCUGAGUAGCUGUGACUGCGCACAUGCACCACCACGCCCGGCGAAAGACAACACUCGGGAGUUCUCCAGCUCUCUCUGCCUAGCCCAGCGGUGGUGAAUCUAUGGCACAUGUGCCACAGCUGGCUGCUAGCAUUAAAAGCUCUGAAAGAUUCGCCAUCCCUGCUCCAGCACAAUAUCUCAAACACAGCAGAUGCCCAAGAAAAAGGAGCAAGAGAAGAGGGGAGAAAAGGGGAGAGGAGAGUUGGAGUCAAGCCUAACCUGAGCCCCACCCCAAGGGAGAGCACUAGACACAGGGCUCGGGGCCAGUAACAACGGGGAGGACUUUCGGGUAAUUAAAAUACUGCAGGACACAUCGGCACGUGCGUGGGCCUUGUGGACCUUUGCAUUUCACGUCAGGGAGCCAAAAUGAGCAACUGCUGGGCGGGGUCUUCGAGGCAGAGUGGGGCAGAGCCAGCUUUGGGGCAUGGCAGGUGGCCGGCCGGCCACAGAAGGGUCCCGCUCCGCAGAGCUCUCUUCUGGCCCCCACACUGGCUGUACUUAGUUUUGACGGCCAGAAACCAGAACAUCCGCUCGCUCACACAGAACGCAGAGGGUGGAGCCUGCAAUCCCAGUGCACUGCCGCUCAGUAAGGGGCCUCGCCAGGAAGGACAAUGCGGCCACAAGGUCACGCAGACACAGCAAGGACGAGCGAGGCUUGGAGAACACACGCGUCCUCCUGCGAGGGCAGGAGAGAAUCUGGGGCUGGGACAACAGCUGGGAAAAUCGGAUGCCGGGCCACAGCCCCCAGGGCUCCCCGACCGCUCAGCCGCGCUGCCUGGAAACCCCAGGCUGACCCCGCCUGCAACAGCGAGACGUGGGGACACUGCCCGCCCCCCACACUUCUGCACUGAAGAAAUAAUAAGUUCCCAGGAGCACACCAUAUUUUAUCCAGCCAUAUGUGUGGCCCAGACAGGAAUCCGGACCCCCUCCGAGCCUGUUCACUCCCAAGGCAGAAUUACAUCCUCACUGACAGGGCCAGGCCUCCGCUCCUCCUGCUUCUCCUCCCGUCUCCACCAGCACCGUAAAUUGCCGUCAAACUCAGCGAAAACAGCUGAGCGGGGAAGAGAGCAUUUCCUCUCACAGCCAAAUAGAUGUGGACGAAACCGAGUGCUCACACGCUCUCAACAGGAGCUUUCUGGGUGAACAAAUGAAAACAAGAGUAAGGGAAACAAUGUAUCAACCUAAGGCAGCCUGGAAACAAUGUGAGCAAGGUUACAAGCAGGGCGGAAAAACAAUAGCUGGACUUUAAUUCAGAAAGGCUGAAAUAGUUGCUCAAUAAAUGAUCGUAAACAACAGGGGGAGAGUAUUGGUUGAGGCACCCAUGCAGGUGAAACAUAUUAUUCAAAAUCCAAGGCCACACUUCCAAAAUGCCCCACCACUAAGAAGUCUCUUCUGUUACUAAAAACACAAAUCCCCAGCCAUCUGCCACAAAAAUUGUAUUUCUGUGGAGCUACGGCAAAGUCUAAAAAUCUGUAUUCCCAAGGUGUUAAGGUUGAUGGCUAUGUCUUCUUCGGUUUAAUGGAGUUUGACUUUUUCAUCCAACAAGUAUUUAUUGAGCUUCAAGUGUGUAUCAGGCAGUUAGGUGCUGGGCACGCAGCAUGACCGAGGUGGAGGUCCCCAGUCGUUGGGCUGACCCUGGGGGAGGCAGAAAAUCCUUCCUUCGAACAAGCAGCUCCAACAGGGACAAACCCACCUUCAUAGGCUCCUGGGGUCGCACUGUGAAGGAAGGGAAGACGCCCAGAAAGCAGCCACUCUACAAAGGCUAAAGUUCGGCAUGUUGCGGUGGUGGCAUCUGUGCCCGCUGUUACCCCAUGCCCUGGGCGGGGAGGCCUGAGAAGGGAGCCCCUCGACCUGCUUGGGGUCCCUUCUGUGAUGAGGUUACAACAGGGCAGGGCUCUGCGCCCUCCGGACGUGCAGGACAGGAGCGGGUUUCUCCCUGGGGCUGUGGGACUCAACUUCCUGGAAAUAAAGGUUGUAAUUACUGCAGCAGGCGAGGGCAGCUCACUUGCAGGCUGGCAGCAUUUGGGACGAUGUCCCUGGGGUUGGCAGGGCCAGGGGCCAAGCGCAUUUCCACCUCUACCACCAGAAGAAAACUGAUGGCUCCAGGCUGAAUCGCACAAAGUACCAGUUAUGAGGUUUAGGAGAAAGAAUAAGGAUGCAGCCUCUCCGCUCAUUUAUGGUGUCUGUCAAGGAGGCUCCUAGUCUCUCAGGGCCAAGGGGGCAUUCGGUGGCCAAAUACAUAUAAAGUGCUCCAGCGAGCGGCAACAAACCUCUGCUGUUCUGAUUUUCAUGGGUGUGGGAAGAAAGGCAACGAAGACCCAGCGCUCCGCUGGAUCCUGAUCCAUGCAGGCCAGGGGCCACAGCUGACAUCGGACAAGGCUUCUCCCCAAGGGAGCCCUGGAGUCCCACUCCUGGCUUCCAGACGCUCCGAGUACAGGGCAUUUGCCGAAAGCUCUCCUCACGGCAAGGGCUUCAGGUCCCUGGCCCUGUGUUUGAUUUCCAGCAUGGAAAAAAGAAAAAAGCUUCCUUCGUUCAAAGACUGGGUGAACCGAGGAGGUUAAAACCAUCAAAAGUGACUCCCAGGAGACAGGCUGCUGAGGACACACUUCCCAGCACUGUUUCUGCACUAAUCCCUGCUGGGUGAGAAUUCUUCCCAGGGUGCAAAUUUUGAAGAUUAAAGGUCGGCUCGUGAACAGUUUUGACUCUUUAAAGAGAACGGGAAGG